UGCCAGUCAUCUGAAACUACAUCUUCACCCGGAGCACCUCUACCAUGGUAAAAAGCAGAUGGGACUCCAUCACAUACAGCUGAUUCCUGUUGGAAGGCUGCUUUGGAUCUGCUGAAACUAAGAUUUUGGGGGGACAUUCUUUCUGUGAAAUCAAGCUGCA
Perognathus longimembris pacificus (Pacific pocket mouse) is the source of this 160-nucleotide long non-coding RNA. RefSeq lists it as uncharacterized. The record is from RefSeq and is a predicted model, not a curated record. The transcript is spliced from 3 exons. Lineage: Eukaryota; Metazoa; Chordata; Mammalia; Rodentia; Heteromyidae.